ACCUCAGCCUCCCAAAGUGCUGGGAUCACAAGCAUGAGCCACCAUGCCGGGCUGCAUUUUCAUAUUCUUAAAUGCAGGAUGUGUCUUACAAGCAAUGGCAUCUCAGUUUGAGUGAAUUACAAAAUGUGAGAUUUUGAAAAGAAAUUAAGUCAUUUUAAUUUGGGUGUUCUGUUUCAGUCAAAUCAUCCUAAAUGAUAUCUUUUAAAAAUAAUUCUUCCCGGAAGAAUGGAUCAUGGCAGAAGACAGAAGAUGAGCUCGUGUGCAAGCUUCCUUUCUGAAAUAAUAGCAGCUGUGUGUACGAAGCGUUUACUCCGCGCCAGGUACCCUCCAAACACAUUUUAUUCACUGUCUCAUCUGAUUCUCAUGACAGCCCUGCCAUUAUCCCCCCCACCCACCCAUUUUGCAGCUGAGGAAGCCAAGGUACAGAAACGUUAAAGGAAUUCACAGGUGAAGGCAUUGAGACCUGAACUCAAUCCAGCCUAAAAACCCAUGGUCUCAGCCACCAUGCCCUGUUUCCUACAAAAAUUACACUAUGACAGUGGAACGUUUUUGCUUAACUCCAGAGAUUUUAAUUCAUCCCCCUAGAAAGCCCGUCAUGAAAACGUAGAGGAUUUUUUUCCUGAGAGUUCUUGGGACCGUGAAACAGGGUCACAGAUCCUACUCAGAUAUCUGGGAUCAUGCAGAUGACCAGGCAGAUGGAAGAAAAGUAAAAAUAUAAAAAUAAAACAUAAAACUGGGAUCACUGCAUUAAGUUUAACUUAGCUUUAACUUUCUGGAGGAGGAGAAACAUAACAUAGACCCUAUGCAUUGAGAAUAGAUGACCUUGGAGUUGUGGAUUAUCUGUGCCCGCCAGCAGAGUCCGGGAAGAAAAGCAACGCAUUUGACAUCCCUGCUUGGAAGAGUCACUGCCUCUAGAUUAUCACUCAAAAAUUGAUUUUUAAAAAAUAAAAAUAAAUGCAUUUGGAGACGAUAUAAUGUUCCAUGGAUCUCUUCUGUCAUUUCCUGGACACGUCUCUCCAUGCCCAGAAACCUCUGCCUUCUCACAGCUGUUGCAUAACCUUUAGCUUGUGAUGGUGUUUAUUCCUUUUGCCUUGAAAGUCCCUUCCUUGCAUCUUCUUCCCUGCUCAGCAGAUUCCAGCUGGUACUUAAGUACCUCCUCUGCGAAGUCUUGACUGAGAUGCUGCAACAAUUUCCGAGCUGUUUCCUCGUGGUACCUUUCUGCUGACAGGUGGAUUAGCACAUUUUCUGCAAUCCAGGAUGACCUGAAGGAAAAUCCCAGCUCUACUGAUUCUAGCUGAGUAACCUUGGCAAAGGUCACCUCACUUCUGAGUCUCAUUUUCUCAUCGGAGGAGGAGGAAGAGGAGCCAAACCUCACUGGAGGUCGUUAAGUCAGUGCUUCAGAGCACUUAGCACAGUGCCUGGUGCAAGAACUGCUGGCUGCCCAGCUCUGUGUUUGUGGAGAAGCGGCAGGAGGACCACAGAGUGAGGAGGCCCACGGCUUCCCGGCGGUCCUUCUGAUCAUCAGAAUCUCAGGACUCAGAAUCCCAGGACUCAGACGACAGGAGACAGGAAGACUGAGGUUCUCUCGGUUGCCAGUGUCCACAUAUCAAAGGGACUCAUUGCUGGCAAGUCCCCACUCAGAGACAUGGAUGGUCACAGGACCCGCCACCUGCGUCCACCCCUUGUGGAGACACCCUCCUGCCAGCAGGCCCUGACCCGGGGAUAUAAUAGGAUCUUUUUUACUCUUUGUUUCACUGGGAGCAAAAAAGUCCCUCUUCAGACGGGUCUCCCAUGCUAGGUGAGUCCAUAGGCACAAAAGGAACCCCUCGUGCACGGGAACUUAAUAAAGAUUUGCUGAUGUUUCCCUGUAUUUCGUUGGGAUAGGCGCCCCUGUCAUCGAACGACAGUGGUCACCCAGGGAAGGAAAAGUCUGGAAGUUCCCCCAACUUCACCCCCUAAAGACCACAUGGCUUCAGCCUAGGGAAGAGUUAACUUUCUGGCCACUGGAGACAGCGUCCUGCCCGCAGGGGCGGCCCAGCCAAUGGCACUCAAUGCUGAUGAUGUCAUGCUCCUCCCGCGCCUUCUAUUGGGGACUGGACAGCGAAUCCUGCAGGAGGCUCGGGCAGCUGA
Cebus imitator (Panamanian white-faced capuchin) is the source of this 2130-nucleotide long non-coding RNA. RefSeq lists it as uncharacterized. The record is from RefSeq and is a predicted model, not a curated record. NCBI's taxonomy places the organism in Eukaryota, Metazoa, Chordata, Mammalia, Primates, Cebidae. The transcript has 3 exons.